This 497-nucleotide ribosomal RNA is filed under the name uncultured bacterium. Its description in RNAcentral is "partial 16S ribosomal RNA". It matches the Rfam family "Bacterial small subunit ribosomal RNA", at positions 28 to 507 of the family's 1533-position model. The record is from RNAcentral.
GAUGAACGCUGGCGGCGUGCCUAAUACAUGCAAGUCGAGCGAACAGAUAAGGAGCUUGCUCCUUUGACGUUAGCGGCGGACGGGUGAGUAACACGUGGGUAACCUACCUAUAAGACUGGAAUAACUCCGGGAAACCGGGGCUAAUGCCGGAUAACAUGUUGAACCGCAUGGUUCUACAGUGAAAGGCGGCUUUGCUGUCACUUAUAGAUGGACCCGCGCCGUAUUAGCUAGUUGGUGAGGUAACGGCUCACCAAGGCAACGAUACGUAGCCGACCUGAGAGGGUGAUCGGCCACACUGGAACUGAGACACGGUCCAGACUCCUACGGGAGGCAGCAGUAGGGAAUCUUCCGCAAUGGGCGAAAGCCUGACGGAGCAACGCCGCGUGAGUGAUGAAGGUCUUCGGAUCGUAAAACUCUGUUAUUAGGGAAGAACAAAUGCGUGAGUAACUGUGCGCGUCCUGACGGUACCUAAUCAGAAAGCCACGGCUAACUACGUG